UCCGGGUUUCCCCGGCAGUCCCAUCAGAGUGCUCUCUUACGAGAUAGCAACUGACAGCAAGGGUUGCGCUCGUUAUAGGACUUAACCCAACAUCUCACGACACGAGCUGACGACAGCCAUGCACCACCUGUGCAAGGCCCCGAAGGACACCGUGUUUCCACGGCUUUUCCCUGCAUGUCAAGCCUAGGUAAGGUUCUUCGCGUUGCUUCGAAUUAAGCCACAUGCUCCGCCGCUUGUGCGGGUCCCCGUCAAUUCCUUUGAGUUUUAGCCUUGCGGCCGUACUCCCCAGGCGGGGUGCUUAAUGCGUUAGCUGCGGCACGGAUGGAGUCGACACCACCCACACCUAGCACCCAUCGUUUACGGCGUGGACUAC
Molecule: unclassified non-coding RNA, 373 nt
Filed under: uncultured Actinomycetes bacterium
Lineage: Bacteria; Bacillati; Actinomycetota; Actinomycetes
Description: uncultured actinobacterium contains 16S-23S intergenic spacer region
Source: RNAcentral